Molecule: non-coding RNA, 1679 nt
Organism: Macaca mulatta (Rhesus monkey)
Lineage: Eukaryota; Metazoa; Chordata; Mammalia; Primates; Cercopithecidae
Source: RefSeq, a predicted model, not a curated record
AACUCCUGACCUCAAAUGACCUGCCCUGCUCGGCCUCCCAAAGUGCUGGGAUUACAGGCGUGAGCCACCGCGCCUGGCCACAGCCCCAGUUCAGCAGUUGCUCACUGAGUAUCUACCAUGUGACCAGCACUGUUCUAGGCCAUUUUUGGUGAUGGGGCGUUGUAUGUCAUAGCCUUCAUCUUCAGGAUGCUUCAGAUAUAUUUGCAAAGACAACACUGGAUCACAUAAAAUGACUAGAUGGUAUGCAGGGCAUCAUGUGGUGUAAUGAAGAGCCAGAAUCAGUGUGGGCCAGAGGCUACAAGUGGGUGUCUCAGCCAAACUGCAUGACGUGUUUUUUAAAAUGUUGGAUUUAAACUACUCUAGGCAAGGUGGUGCUUUGCAGUGUUACAGACCCUACGUGCAGGCUGCUUGGUUUGUUUACUUACCUGCUUGGUUGCCUAAGACAUUUGAAUUUAUAACCCUAUUAGGCAUGCUAUGCUGGUUUAAUGUGAGUCACUAGAAAAGAUUUGUUGAGCACUUACUAUGUGCCAAGCAUUGUACUGGCUGCAGCUGCUUUGGAACUGAUCAUAACAUCUUCCAAAGUUCUUCCACUAGGAAAUAGUAAUAAUGAUAAUAGUGGAACACCAACAAAUACUUUGCCUUUUAUAUUGACUUUCCUCCCGGACUGCCUUCACAUAUGCUCACUCAUUGUGUCAACAAUAUACAAUAUACCUGCCUAGCAGGUAGGGCUUUCCGUGUUGGGGAAACGUGAUUUCAGGGCUUUUGCAAUUUCUUCAAGUUCACACAGUUAGAAUUCUGCUAUUAUGCCUAGUGCUUUAUUAUCCCACCUAAUGUUCACAACAGCUUUACAGGGUAGGGUUGAUGCUAAUACCCAUUUUUUUUUUUUUUUUUGAGACGGAGUCUCGCUCUGUCACCCAGGCUGGAGUGCAGUGGCGGGAUCUCAGCUCACUGCAAGCUCCGCCUCCAGGGUUUACGCCAUUCUCCUGCCUCAGCCUCCGGAGUAGCUGGGACUACAGGCGCCAGUGUACAUGGAGAGUGAGACAAUGCAGGUGUUGACUCACGGAACUGGACGAGAAUCUACUACUCCUUCUCUACUGUUCUCUUCCUACAAACUGAACGAAAAUGAAAAGGAAGUCAUUUCUGCAUGUGUCACAGAGGCAUCCUUUGGUUCUAAAGGGAGCUGAGUUGGAUUCCACAAGCGCAUGGUCCUUGUAGCAUGUGAAUAGGAUUCAGUCAUGGACGAGAAGGAAGGGUUCCGGGGAGACUGUCAUCGCCCUGUCCAGGCUAAUCCUCCAGCUGCCCAGAUUUCAGAGGAGAGCCUGGUGUCACUUACAGCAGACAUUGCAGAUGCCUCAGCAUUUCGGAUGAAGACGGUAAAGACCUUCUUUGUUUCAAAAAAACCUUUGUUUUCCAGAGGAGAAAACACAGGUUGGAUCUAAACUCAAUCCUCCUAUUGAAAUAUUUUAAUGACACUGAAAGAGGUUGUUGCAUUUGGCAGGUGCAGGUGGAGCUGUGCGGUCCUGCACUGAAGCCCUGCAGUCCUGACUUCUGAGUGGAGCUAGAGGACAAUUAUAUUAAUGUGUUUGCACUACUUGCUCAAUUGUAAAGCAUAACAAAUAUAUUUAAGGCAUUUUUUUUUUUUUUUUUUUUUGAGACGGAGUCUCGCUCUGUCGCCCAGG